Molecule: ribosomal RNA, 253 nt
Filed under: uncultured bacterium
Lineage: Bacteria
Description: partial 16S ribosomal RNA
Rfam family: Bacterial small subunit ribosomal RNA
Source: RNAcentral
GCCAGAGGGUGCAAACGUUGCUCGGAAUCACUGGGCGUAAAGGGCGUGUAGGCGGGCAGGUAAGUCGGGCGUGAAAUCCCUGGGCUCAACCCAGGAACUGCACUCGAAACUACUUGUCUUGAGUGUCGGAGAGGAAAGCGGAAUUCCUGGUGUAGAGGUGAAAUUCGUAGAUAUCAAGUGGAACACCAGUGGCGAAGGCGAGUCUCUGGACAUUUCCUGACGCUGAGGCACGAAAGCCAGGGGAGCAAACGGG